CAAUAGCGUAUAUUUAAGUUGUUGCAGUUAAAAAGCUCGUAGUUGGAUUUCGGGUGGGACGCAGCGGUCUCGCAUUGCGUUUGUACUGCUGCAGCCCUCCUUCUUGCCGGGGGCGGCCUCUCGGACUUCACUGUCUGGGGGUCAGAAUCGGCGAUGUUACUUUGAGUAAAUUAGAGUGUUCAAAGCAAGCUUACGCUCUGAAUAUAAUAGCAUGGGAUAACACGAUAGGACUCUGGCUUAUCUUGUUGGUCUGUGAGACCAGAGUAAUGAUUAAGAGGGACAGUCGGGGACAUUCGUAUUUCAUUGUCAGAGGUGAAAUUCUUGGAUUUAUGAAAGACGAACUUCUGCGAAAGCAUUUGUCAAGGAUGUUUUCAUUA
Molecule: ribosomal RNA, 377 nt
Filed under: uncultured eukaryote
Lineage: Eukaryota
Description: partial 18S ribosomal RNA
Rfam family: Eukaryotic small subunit ribosomal RNA
Source: RNAcentral